Molecule: long non-coding RNA, 1001 nt
Organism: Gorilla gorilla gorilla (western lowland gorilla)
Lineage: Eukaryota; Metazoa; Chordata; Mammalia; Primates; Hominidae
Source: Ensembl
GCCCUAGGUGUCUGCAGCACAACAGCCAACACUUCUGGAGCACAUGGCCCUGCAGUGAAGGAUUCUGGAGCUCGCAUUUGUCUGAAGGGGAUCCGAGGAGGUUCUGUCUUGUUGAAUGUGAUUGAGAAGCUCAGAGUAGAUGUAGACGCCGAGCUGGAGGAGGUUGUAUGGACUUUGGGUACUCUGUCAAAUCAUACACAGGUGCUGUGAGUCCACAGGGGGGCCGACUCUCCAACCCGGGUCAGCCUUGAGGAAAAGUUCAAGCAGAGGGUCCAUGUGCCCAGCGUGUUGUCUCUGAGGAUUGAGAACCUGGCCCCUGAAGACAGUGGGCAGUACCUGGCCAUGAUCCACUUAACUGGGGGACAAUUAUCUGGCCAGGUUUUCUACCUCACUGUCUGUGAGCCUGUGCCUCAUCCUGAGAUCCUGGCCAAGUCACUGUCUAUCAUACCAGGCUUGUGUAACAUCACCCUGGAGUGUAGGGCUCCAGGAGCCACAGAGGACCUGAAUGUGACUUGGGAGAGCAAGGACCUCCUCAGAGAUCUGGAGCACAGAGAAACACGAGGACCAGCCCCUAACCCCUGGACCCUGGCUGUGAACCUGCCCCUGAGCCAGCAGAACAGCAAUCUCACCUGUGUGGUCAGCAACUAGGACUCUCCUUUCCCCAAGGACAGUUUUAUUUCGAAAGAAAAAUUGGAAAUGCAGAGCCACGAGGGGGCGCCCUGGACCCUGGUCUGGUGGUAAAGUCAGCACCUUCAUAAAGCAAGGAUCUCCUAGAUGCCGGGUUCAGAAUGAAAUAGGAGCAUUGGCUGAACAUCUGCCGGGGACCUCACUGGGCACGCACAGGGCCUCACUUACUCAACGCAGACACUCCCUGAAGUGAGUGCUUAUGCCCCACUGUGGUGAGCUCACAGGCUCAGGCAAGUUCAGCAAUCUGUCCAGGGUUACUCAGGUAAUAAGUGGAAAAUGAGAUUCAGACCCAAUUCUGUGCAGUUCUAAAGCCC